GUAAGAUUUAGAGUUCUAAGUUCAAGUGGUUGAGCAAUGUUUCGCGCUUGCUAUAGGCUCUAUGCUCGUGAUCGUUGGACACAGCACAUAUGUAUCUAAUAAUACGUUCAAAUACAACGGUAAAUUAACCUUGAAUUAGCUUCGUUUCGAGACAUGGCUUUUCGUUGUAAUUAGUAGAGCAAACAACGGAUUGUGUGCCGGGUCGCGUCUCCACGAUAAAUCGCGGCACUAUAAAGCGUGUUCCAAGACGUUCAUUUGAAUACGAUAUACACACGUAUACAGUAUACAUACAGGGAGUGUCAGGGUGAUUCUACAACAGAGUAGAAAGUGAUUGUAAGCUGCUCAAGUCUUACAUGAUAAGAGGUGCUCGACGCGGUACUCAUUUGCAUCGAUCCAACAUUGCAAUCGUCCGAUUUCUAAAAAUAACGAAGAUGUUCAAGAUAUUCAAAGUUCUUGGCACACUCUGCAUAAACUUAUUUAAUGUACCGUCCUCUAGUUACGAAUAACUAAUAUGCUCACGGGUAUAUACUUCCAAAACAUCGCGAUUCAAGCUUUCCGCGAGAAAGAUUCCAUCGAAAAAAAAUCAGGAAAUACCAAAGGCAACGGAGCUUUUAUUGUCCCGCGAUAUGAUCCAGCGGUGGAACGUAAGAACGGCCGGAGCAAGUGAUUGAACGUCACGUCGGAACCGAAAGCUUCGUAGCUCGCACGAUCGGUUUUCCGCGGUGGCAACAAAGAUGGAGCGUUUCUUUCUCUGUGAAGCCUGACAAAUGCGGUCUAUUUGUAUCGGGGAGCGUGACCGGAGGCUGAAAAGGGGAUUGAUUUACCGGCUCGCAUCUCUGCCGUUAGCCGUUGGUGAUUUUUCGUAUCGGCCACCGUAUUUAUGAGACGGUACCACGUCGUAUUAAUGGGCCCUCGGUAUGGUACAUCCGGCCGUAUCGACGCCACGAUCUUGUCUCGAAUCUUGGCCUAUCGAUACGUACCAAUUCGACCGUCCUACCUGCGACGCUAUCUUCCCACGCGGAUACGCUGUAUCUUCGUCGUACAUUGCCGGCCAGAAGUAUUAGGACACCUACUGGUACCUACUGGUUACGCAUACUGAAAAAUUAUAACAGAUUUUGCUUUGUUUAACAUUUUACGUUAUAAAACGUGGAUAACAUGUAAUACGAUUAAAUAACAGAUUUGUAAUAAAAUAAUUAGAAAAUAAAAACAGGGGAAAGCUAUCAA
Molecule: long non-coding RNA, 1224 nt
Organism: Bombus huntii
Lineage: Eukaryota; Metazoa; Arthropoda; Insecta; Hymenoptera; Apidae
Exons: 2
Source: RefSeq, a predicted model, not a curated record